AUGGCUACAAGGCUCCUCUGCUACACAGCCCUUUGUCUCCUGGGAACAGGCUCUUUUAAUGUCAAAGUCAUCCAGACUCCAAGAUACUUGGUCAAAGAGAAAGAGUGGAAAGCAAAGAUGAGCUGUUACCCUGAAAAGGGGCAUGCUGUUGUUUUCUGGUAUCAACAGAAUAAGAACAAUGAGUUUACAUUUUUGAUUAGCUUUCAGAAUCAAGAGGUUCUUCAACAAACAGACAUGGUCAAGAAACGAUUUUUAGCUGAGUGUCCUUCAAAUUCACCCUGCAGCCUGGAAAUCCAGUCCUCUGAGGCAGGAGACUCAGCACUGUACCUCUGUGCCAGCAGUCUGUCCACAGCGCUGAAAUAUGCAUUCCCCUCAGAGCACAAACCCUUCACGGAGCCAACCCAGGAAGCAGGUGCUGCUCUGGGUUGGAAGGAAGUAACAGAAAUGAACUGGAAUGAGUGUCAAUCACAGCAGAUUUCAUACUAA
Non-coding RNA from Peromyscus eremicus (cactus mouse), 486 nucleotides. The record is from the annotation of a RefSeq genome assembly. Lineage: Eukaryota; Metazoa; Chordata; Mammalia; Rodentia; Cricetidae.